UCGAGCGGCAGCGCGGGGGCAACCCUGGCGGCGAGCGGCGAACGGGUGAGUAACACAUCGGAACGUACCCUGUCGUGGGGGAUAGCCCGGCGAAAGCCGGAUUAAUACCGCAUACGACCUGAGGGUGAAAGCGGGGGAUCGCAAGACCUCGCGCGAUAGGAGCGGCCGAUGGCGGAUUAGCUAGUUGGUGAGGUAAAGGCUCACCAAGGCGACGAUCCGUAGCUGGUCUGAGAGGACGACCAGCCACACUGGAACUGAGACACGGUCCAGACUCCUACGGGAGGCAGCAGUGGGGAAUUUUGGACAAUGGGGGCAACCCUGAUCCAGCCAUUCCGCGUGAGUGAAGAAGGCCUUCGGGUUGUAAAGCUCUUUCGGCAGGAACGAAACGGUGGAGGCUAAUACCUUUCAUCAAUGACGGUACCUGAAGAAGAAGCACCGGCUAACUACGUGCCAGCAGCCGCGGUAAUACGUAGGGUGCGAGCGUUAAUCGGAAUUACUGGGCGUAAAGCGUGCGCAGGCGGUUCUAUAAGACAGAUGUGAAAUCCCCGGGCUUAACCUGGGAACUGCGUUUGUGACUGUAGGACUGGAGUGUGGCAGAGGGGGGUGGAAUUCCACGUGUAGCAGUGAAAUGCGUAGAGAUGUGGAGGAACACCGAUGGCGAAGGCAGCCCCCUGGGUUAACACUGACGCUCAUGCACGAAAGCGUGGGGAGCAAACAGGAUUAGAUACCCUGGUAGUCCACGCCCUAACGAUGCGAACUAGGUGUUGGAGAAGGAGACUUCUUUAGUACCGUAGCUAAC
Molecule: ribosomal RNA, 799 nt
Filed under: uncultured bacterium
Lineage: Bacteria
Description: bacterial SSU rRNA
Rfam family: Bacterial small subunit ribosomal RNA
Source: RNAcentral